AACGAACGCUGGCGGCAUGCCUAACACAUGCAAGUCGAACGAGACCUUCGGGUCUAGUGGCGCACGGGUGCGUAACGCGUGGGAACCUGCCCUUAGGUUCGGAAUAACUCCCCGAAAGGGGUGCUAAUACCGGAUAAUGUCUUCGGACCAAAGAUUUAUCGCCUUUGGAUGGGCCCGCGUUGGAUUAGCUAGUUGGUAGGGUAAAAGCCUACCAAGGCGACGAUCCAUAGCUGGUCUGAGAGGAUGAUCAGCCACACUGGGACUGAGACACGGCCCAGACUCCUACGGGAGGCAGCAGUAAUGAAUAUUGGACAAUGGGCGAAAGCCUGAUCCAGCAAUGCCGCGUGAGUGAUGAAGGCCUUAGGGUUGUAAAGCUCUUUUACCCGGGAUGAUAAUGACAGUACCGGGAGAAUAAGCUCCGGCUAACUCCGUG
RNAcentral lists this ribosomal RNA (433 nucleotides) under uncultured bacterium. Its description in RNAcentral is "partial 16S ribosomal RNA". It matches the Rfam family "Bacterial small subunit ribosomal RNA", at positions 29 to 507 of the family's 1533-position model. The record is from RNAcentral.